Molecule: transfer RNA, 66 nt
Filed under: Anoeconeossa unicornuta
Lineage: Eukaryota; Metazoa; Arthropoda; Insecta; Hemiptera; Aphalaridae
Description: tRNA-Leu
Source: RNAcentral
UUCUAAUAUGGCAGAUUUAAUGCUCUAAAUUUAAGAUUUAGCUAUGAAAAUUCUAUUUCUUUUAGA